Molecule: ribosomal RNA, 432 nt
Filed under: uncultured bacterium
Lineage: Bacteria
Description: partial 16S ribosomal RNA
Rfam family: Bacterial small subunit ribosomal RNA
Source: RNAcentral
AACGAACGCUGGCGGCAUGCCUAACACAUGCAAGUCGAACGAGACCUUCGGGUCUAGUGGCGCACGGGUGCGUAACGCGUGGGAACCUGCCCUUAGGUUCGGAAUAACUCCCCGAAAGGGGUGCUAAUACCGGAUAAUGUCUUCGGACCAAAGAUUUAUCGCCUUUGGAUGGGCCCGCGUUGGAUUAGCUAGUUGGUAGGGUAAAAGCCUACCAAGGCGACGAUCCAUAGCUGGUCUGAGAGGAUGAUCAGCCACACUGGGACUGAGACACGGCCCAGACCCAUACGGGAGGCAGAAGGGGGGAAUAUGGAAAAAUGGGCAAAAGCCUGACCAACAAAGCCCGGGGGAGGAAGAAGGGCUUUGGGUUUUAAAGCUCUUUUACCCGGGAUGAUAAUGACAGUACCGGGAGAAUAAGCUCCGGCUAACUCCGUG